RNAcentral lists this unclassified non-coding RNA (20 nucleotides) under Mus musculus (house mouse). Its description in RNAcentral is "oocyte_clustered_small_RNA13543". Lineage: Eukaryota; Metazoa; Chordata; Mammalia; Rodentia; Muridae. The record is from RNAcentral.
UAUACACCAAAACAGAGACA